UUGUGCUUGAUGGUCACCUGGACCUAGGUUC
Molecule: non-coding RNA, 31 nt
Filed under: Mus musculus (house mouse)
Lineage: Eukaryota; Metazoa; Chordata; Mammalia; Rodentia; Muridae
Source: RNAcentral